GAUGAAGAACGCAGCGAAAUGCGAUAAGUAGUGUGAAUUGCAGAAUUCAGUGAAUCAUCGAAUCUUUGAACGCACAUUGCGCCUCCUGGUAUUCCGGGAGGCAUGCCUGUUCGAGCGUCAUUAAAAUCACUCAAGCUUAGGUUUACCUAUUGCUUGGUCUUGGAGAUGGAAGCCAAUUUAUUGGAAUCCUCUUCGAAAUUCAAUGGCGAAGACCCUUGCUCUCCCAAGUGUAGUAAUAACUUAUGUCACUGAAGGAAGCGAGAAAUCUUCUGCCGUAACCCCCAUAUUUUCUAUGAUUGACCUCGGAUCAGGUAGGGAUACCCGCUGAACUUAAGCAUAUCAAUGAGCGGAGGA
RNAcentral lists this unclassified non-coding RNA (354 nucleotides) under soil metagenome. RNAcentral describes it as "partial contains 5.8S ribosomal RNA, internal transcribed spacer 2, and large subunit ribosomal RNA". The stretch from base 1 to 120 matches the Rfam family "5.8S ribosomal RNA", at positions 35 to 154 of the family's 154-position model. The record is from RNAcentral.